CUGCUGUCCCCGCCGCCGGAAGGCUCCGCCGUCUUUGCUCCCCAUUCCCCGGGGCUGACUGAUUUGUUCGCGGCCCGGCCACCUUCCCUGACUGGAUCCCCUGCGCUCCCCGUCGUCGCCGCUGGGGAGAAUCGCGGCCCGCCCCCGUCGCUGAGUUGCUACCGGACGCGCCCGCCGGUCCUAUCGCGCCAGACGGUCUACGACGCCCUCUUCCCAUGAAUGAUUGUGCUUGGUGCAUCUAGAUCUAUGUUGGUUGGACACGCUGAAGAGGGGAUAUCUGUCCAUGAAGUUUGGUAACACACCGUUCCUGAAGUAUGUUGAACGCUGACGGAGGUAAGGAGAUAAAUAGCAUACCUGACGAGUCAAUGUAUUUUUUUUCUGGACCGUUACCGGGGAGGCAACGCACAAAGCUGACUUGUAAGCAACUCAAUCGAGCUUUUCUGCCGAUGCAACUUGGUCAAAGUAAUUAGUCGUCUUGCAAGAGAUAGACGAAUCUGGUGAUAAGGUUGCUAUAUAUUAUGACCGGCAAGGGACUUGAACGUAUCUAAGUAGGAUUCGGACUCCCUAGCUUAGUAGGAAUCGUACUCCCUUGUUAAUUAGUGUUAGGAGUCCCUGGCUACGUAGGAUUAAGAGUCCUACUCGGUUUUUGCUACAGUACCAAAUUGUGAACUUUUCAGUUUGCACUUCGUCCGGAUAAUUGUACGUGCAAUCAUUAGCACCUGCAGAAUAUCUAAAUAUCAAGGAAAAUAUAUUCGGGCUGAAAUUACCAAAAUGUGUAAGAAACUUUA
This is a long non-coding RNA of Lolium rigidum, 788 nucleotides long. RefSeq lists it as uncharacterized. Lineage: Eukaryota; Viridiplantae; Streptophyta; Magnoliopsida; Poales; Poaceae. The transcript is spliced from 3 exons. The record is from RefSeq and is a predicted model, not a curated record.